UGGUGACCAGCGGAGGGAUCAUUACUGAGUUACAAACUCCAAACCUUUGUGAACAUACCACAGUUGCUUCGGCGGCCUCGCCCCGGGCGCGGCGGGACCCUCUCGGGGGGAACGCGGCGACCCGGACCCAGGCGACCGCCGGGGGACCCAAACUCUUGUCUUUUAGUGUAUUAUCUGAGUGGCAUAAGCAAAAUAAAUUAAAACUUUCAGCAACGGAUCUCUUGGUUCUGGCAUCGAUGAAGAACGCAGCGAAAUGCGAUAAGUAAUGUGAAUUGCAGAAUUCAGUGAAUCAUCGAAUCUUUGAACGCACAUUGCGCCCGCCAGUACUCUGGCGGGCAUGCCUGUCCGAGCGUCAUUUCAACCCUCAGCACCCCCGUUCGCGGCGGGAGCUGGCGUUGGGGAUCGGCCGUCCUCUGCGGCGGCCGGCCCCGAAACGAAGUGGCGGUCACGUCGCGACCUCCUCUGCGUAGUAGCAAUAUCUCGCAGCCUGGAUAGCGGCGCGGCCAUGCCGUAAAACCCCAACUUUUUCAAGGUUGACCUCGGAUCAGGUAGGAAUACCCGCUGAACUUAAGCAUAUCAAUA
RNAcentral lists this ribosomal RNA (582 nucleotides) under Geosmithia sp. 10 FR-2014. RNAcentral's name for it is "eukaryotic LSU rRNA". The stretch from base 202 to 355 matches the Rfam family "5.8S ribosomal RNA". Lineage: Eukaryota; Fungi; Ascomycota; Sordariomycetes; Hypocreales; Bionectriaceae. The record is from RNAcentral.